GGUCACUUCGUGUUUACACUGGCGGUUAUGAGGGCCUACUACUUUGUCAAAAAAUGUUCAACAGGUAAAACUUGCAAUUUAAUUGAUGACAUAUUUUAAUUUGCAUUAUUGCAUACCCAGAGAAGUUACAUUUUUAACAUUUAUUGGCCAUUUGCACUGCUUCUUUAAUGAAUCUCCUGUUCUUGUCCCUUGAUGUUUCAGACAUGGUUAAAAGUCUAGUAAUGAGGUCUGGUCCUGCCAUUCACUAGCUGUUUUGUUUUCCUACCUGUUCAUCUGGUUUAGAGUAUCUGCCUUGUCUUCAAGCCUGCUUGCUCUUCCAAAUCUUGACCUCGGGUUAGCCAGGUUAUGGUGUAACAGUUUCAUACUGCCAAACAGAAUCUUCAGACCUGAGUUUUCCUAGAGAGUUAUGAGCUAUUGCUGCCGAUGAGCUGUCUAAACGGAGAGUCAAUAGAGCUGUCGUUUCAUCUAUUUUUUUUCUGUCUCAAAGGUUAUCAUCAUGAGGACUCAUCUCAAGGGGUCUUCUACUGAUGAUCUCAGCUCUUGCCCUCUGCUUAUUCCCCUUUCCAGAUUUCUUUCAUCCUCCUAGGAUGUAAGGCUUUUCUGGCAAACAGGAGACCUGAGAACACUGAACCACUAAGUUCAAAGGACAGAGUGGGCAAGACGCAGAGUCAGAAGCGGGGAAGGAAACUGAUUUCCUCUCUACAAAAUCAUGGUGAGUCCCAUGACAGAGAGAGUCACCAAUGGCAACUACUGUUUUGAGAAGAAAAAAUAUUGCUGGGGAAUAAAUUAUGUAAGGAAAAUUUGUCCUUGAUUUUC
This 816-nucleotide long non-coding RNA is filed under the name Felis catus (domestic cat). RNAcentral describes it as "lncRNA (ENSFCAG00000040852.2)". The record is from RNAcentral. Lineage: Eukaryota; Metazoa; Chordata; Mammalia; Carnivora; Felidae.